UCUGGUGACUAUAGCAAGGAGGUCACACCUGUUCCCAUGCCGAACACAGAAGUUAAGCUCCUUAGCGUCGAUGGUAGUCGCACUUACGUUCCGCCAGAGUAGAACGUUGCCAGGC
RNAcentral lists this ribosomal RNA (115 nucleotides) under Staphylococcus aureus. The record is from RNAcentral. Lineage: Bacteria; Bacillati; Bacillota; Bacilli; Caryophanales; Staphylococcaceae.